UGGGGAAUAUUGGACAAUGGACCAAAAGUCUGAUCCAGCAAUUCUGUGUGCACGAUGACGGUCUUAGGAUUGUAAAGUGCUUUCAAUCGGGAAAAAGAAAGUGAUGGUACCGAUAGAAGAAGCGACGGCUAAAUACGUGCCAGCAGCCGCGGUAAUACGUAUGUCGCAAGCGUUAUCCGGAUUUAUUGGGCGUAAAGCGCGUCUAGGCGGUCUGGUAAGUCUGAUGUGGAAAUGCGGGGCUCAACUCCGUAUUGCGUUGGAAACUGCCAGACUAGAGUACUGGAGAGGUGGGCGGAACUACAAGUGUAGAGGUGAAAUUCGUAGAUAUUUGUAGGAAUGCCGAUAGAGAAGUCAGCUCACUGGACAGAUACUGACGCUGAAGCGCGAAAGCAUGGGGAGCAAACAG
This 406-nucleotide ribosomal RNA is filed under the name uncultured bacterium. RNAcentral describes it as "bacterial SSU rRNA". It matches the Rfam family "Bacterial small subunit ribosomal RNA", at positions 355 to 775 of the family's 1533-position model. The record is from RNAcentral.